AUACAGAGGGUGCAAGCGUUAAUCGGAUUUACUGGGCGUAAAGCGCGCGUAGGUGGCUAAUUAAGUCAAAUGUGAAAUCCCCGAGCUUAACUUGGGAAUUGCAUUCGAUACUGGUUAGCUAGAGUAUGGGAGAGGAUGGUAGAAUUCCAGGUGUAGCGGUGAAAUGCGUAGAGAUCUGGAGGAAUACCGAUGGCGAAGGCAGCCAACUGGCCUAAUACUGACACUGAGGUGCGAAAGCAGGGGGAGCAAACAGGAUUAGAUCCCCUGGUAGUCCAUGCCGUAAACGAUGUCUACUAGCCGUUGGGGCCCUUGAGGCUUUAGUGGCGCAGCUAACGCGAUAAGUAGACCGCCUGGGGAGUACGGUCGCAAGACUAAAACUCAAAUGAAUUGACGGGG
RNAcentral lists this ribosomal RNA (396 nucleotides) under uncultured bacterium. RNAcentral's name for it is "partial 16S ribosomal RNA". It matches the Rfam family "Bacterial small subunit ribosomal RNA", at positions 523 to 918 of the family's 1533-position model. The record is from RNAcentral.